AUGACAUGUAUAUCAGUUAUUUCAACUUGCACUUUAGGCCUUGCCAGAUUCCUCGCAACCUGGUGGCCUGAAGGCAAUGAAGCUGACGCAUUGCACUUGGCGCAUGUUGUCGAAGCCGAUGACGCGGACAUAGGCGUCAGGGUACUCCUUCUUAACCUCCUCCACCUCGUUGAGCACCUGUGUGGCGUCGGUGCACCCGAACAUAGGCAGCUUCCACAUUGUCCAGUAUCGACCGUCGUAGUACCCGGGGGAGCUGUUGUGCUCACGGAAGACAAAGCCAACCUUGCUGAACUCGAGGCAGGGUACCCACUUGGAGCGGAUCAAGUAGUCGACCUGCUUUAG
RNAcentral lists this ribosomal RNA (342 nucleotides) under Triticum aestivum (bread wheat). RNAcentral describes it as "partial small subunit ribosomal RNA". The record is from RNAcentral. Lineage: Eukaryota; Viridiplantae; Streptophyta; Magnoliopsida; Poales; Poaceae.